Molecule: long non-coding RNA, 4217 nt
Organism: Leopardus geoffroyi (Geoffroy's cat)
Lineage: Eukaryota; Metazoa; Chordata; Mammalia; Carnivora; Felidae
Exons: 3
Source: RefSeq, a predicted model, not a curated record
UGUAGUUACAUACGGCAAAAAGAAGGCGAGAAUGAAUCAUCCUGAAGGCUCACCAAAAACCUCCUGCAACCAAUCAUUUGGGGAAUUUGAAAAAAACAGAGCUUGGAGAUGUAGACACAGACUGGUUUUUCUGGCCGGCGAGAGGCAGAGUCCUGCAAGCAGGACAUCCUUUUACAAACUGGAACGUGAGACUGGAAGUCACCGAAAGACCUUGAGGAAGAGAGAGAUGACGUGAAGGGUUUCGAAGGCUCUAUGAAGGCGGGCUUUCAGGGCUGGCUGGAAGACGUCUGCAUUUGCCCAGUUCAAUGAUGGAAGAUGAGAUAGAUGGUAGAUCCAGCUGUCAAACUGCUUGGACGGUCUUAGGCUCAGCGCAGGAAAUGAACGUGAAGGGAGGCACCAUUGCGCUGGAGAGCGGAAGAGAUUUCCAGAGAGGGGAGCUUCGAAUUUGGAAGGAAAAUAAGUGUGUCUGAUGGAGAAAGACUAAGUAGGGUUUGAGUAAGGAAAAAACAAAUGAACAAACCAACAAAACAGAGCUCAGCGUCCUUAAUGGGAAGAACAUAGCCUUACUGAAUAAGAUCAGAAACCUGCAAAAGAACAGGAUGAGACAAAAGCACAGAAGCAUUUGGUGACUAAAAAACAGCAGGAUGCCAGGCAAAGCUAAUAAGCAGAGACAAGACAGAGCAGGCUGAGAUGAGGACCACUUCCAAGUAAAUUAAAUGUCCAAUAACAACAUCAAGAUCUUCCUGGGACGACUAAACGGAAUCACCAACAUUACAAAGACAAAACAAAACAAAACAAAACCCCCAAAUUAAUAGUAAGGAAAAUGCAGCAGACGCUGUUGUGAAAGCAGCUACAGCAUGACACCAGGUUGUCUGCAAACAGAAGCCACCUUUCUUUCGGGUAGCCACACCUCUGAGAAGUAGCCUGACCCCCGUCUGAGGAAAAAUCUCUGUUAAUGAUAAUCUCAUUCUGUUCACCGUGAUUGGCUUAGAGGAGGACACGUGACUUAGUUAAAUGUGAUGCGACCUGCAGGCAAGUCGGCUGGGGGCUCCGUAGAGGAGUUUGCUCGGGAAGAAGACCGCACCCGAAGACAGCUCUUCUUCUAGAAGUGGUCUCGGACUGAACCCUCAAUAUCUGCAAGGUGCAGUGACCUACUUGAUGGAGGAGUUUGGAGGAAAGAAAUGAGCAUGGUUGACUCCGUUCACUCUCCUUCGUCUCUGGGGUCUACAGAAAUCGGUUGACUCCAGUCUGCCUUUAGUCAUGAGUGAAGCUUGUCAGGAAAUGUCUGUUGUCUCCCACCCUUCAGGGGAGGGCUGCCAUUUCCGAGAACUAUCAUCUUGGUUCAGGCAAGGCUGCCAUUCUGGGGGUCAGAAUAGAAAGCCCAUUUUGGCCACACACCUAAAUCACAUUCCUAACCUAUUUGAUAUUUCGAUGUCUAUCAGCCAGCUACUCUGUCUCUCCCUGGUUCAAAAUUAUGCAAAGAAAAAAUGAGAGCUGUGUAUUGAUCCCUUAGAACCCAAUAUAAACAUGUGUCUGGUUUUUUGUUGUUGUUUUUGUUGUUGUUGUUGUUGUUGUUGUUUUUGGUUGUUUUGUUUUCUGGUCUAUUCAGCAUCAAACCAAUUCUUCGCUAUGUCAGGAGGCAGCACCCAGCAGAAAUUGAAGAGACAGACCUUCCAUCAUCUCCUCAACCCUUGGCAAAUAUCUUUGUUUCUCAACCUAUAGAAAUGUCUUCAUGCUGUUUUCCAAACUCAGCUGUCUAGAUCCACUUAGAUGCUAUGAACCCCUCAGGUCCUUUCUGCAGUUUGAAAAUAUAAAGAUUCUCCCUGAUACACUCCCUAGAGCCAUUGUGAGGAAUUAAACCCUUAGUGGUUUAGCUACAUCUUCCUUUUGGUCUGUGCACUGCUCCCCUUCCAAUAAGUCUUGGUGCAAUUGUUUAAACUUAAGAUAGGCAUCAGAAGCAGUUUUCUCCACAAUCUUACAUAUUUAAAGCCUUUAGAGGCAAGAAAUAUAAUUGUUGCUUGGAGCAGUGCCUCCUCUUAAUAUUGCUAUUCCAUUUAUCAGAAAUAAAGUGGUAUCACUAAAAUACACCUAUUUUUUAAAAUUAUAAAAGUAAUGAGUGCUCCCUCUAAAAAUCUUAAACAGUAUAGAUGAGUAUGACGAUACCACUACUCUCAAGAAGUCAUUAAAAUUACAAAAAUGUUCUUGGGUUGCUUUCAGAAAGUUUUGAUGCAUAUAGAGUGCCAUUAUACACAUACAUUUUUUUACACAAAUGAGAGCACGAUGGAACCCAGAUAAAACUGUUUUGUCAUGGUCCAUCCACUUCAGCAUGGGUGCCACACUCAAAAGAAAGCAAGGCCAGGCCCUACAUCCAAAAACUAGUAGGAAAGCAAGUAAAAUCUUCCCAUCAGUAUUAUAAACAAUCAGCAAAUAAAAGAAGUAUUGCCUUGCAUGGCAAAUAGCAAUGUGUUCUGAAAUUGUGUCUCACAUCUUCCCCUUUCUCCCUAAGGUCCUGCUCUUCACACCAUGAUAUCUUUCUCUUUCUCUCUCUCUCUCUCUCUCUCUCUCUCUCUCUCUCUGUCUCUCUAUUUCUCUCUCCCUCCUUCCCACCCACCCCCUCUGCCUUUUCCCCUCUCUCACACCCUUUGUCCUCCCUACUCAAAACAAAAUCAAAAAACAAAAAACAAAAACAGAAACUCUUCAAAUUUUAAUCCAUGCUAGCUUUAGUUUUCCCCCCUUUCCUCCUUCCUCUCCUGAAUAUACUUUUAUCCCUUCAUAGCUUUAGCUCAUUCCAAAAUCAAUAGUCCUCCUAGGAUUCUUUUAGUUCUUCUCUAGAGCCAAUACUGGAUGAACCCAAUGAAAAGUUGGACAUGGCUAGUGGGCCCAAGCAGCAAAGGCACUUUUCUCUUCCAAAAGCCAGUGGAGAGGUCAAGGUUGUGAAUACACACACACACAUCUUGCCCUUGUCCCCCUUGUCACGAUAUGAUACUGUCUACAGUUUGCUUCUUCGACUUAUGAAUUCAUCACAGGCAUGUUUUCUCUUCAGCCCAUGGUGUUCUGCCUCAUUCUUUUUCAAAGGACAUGGUAUCAUAUAGUGUUGAGAAUGCAUUUAACCAGUCCCUGCUGGUAAAUAGAUAGGCUGUUUCUGAUUUGAGACUACCUUAAGGAAUACUGCAAUGAAUAAUUGUUCACAUAUUUCUUGUUCACAUAUUUCUUGAUACAUGAGGGAGUGUAGAUGUGCUCUUGACAACAAUUUGACUUGUGUUUCUCUGGCUCCACUUCCUAUGAUGUAAUAACAACUAAUACUCAUUCUUUAAAUGAAUGAGUGAAUGAAUGAAUGAAUGAAUGAAUGAAUGAUUCAGCAAAUAGCUAGGAAUGUGAUAAUAAACCACAACCAAGGUAAAUGACAUAACAGUGGGCUUGUACAAUAGGAUUUAAUCUCUACUUAGCCAUUCUUGAAUGCAACUUUCUUCACCUGUAAAAUGGGGACAUGCUUUUAAAUACUGUUGAAUGAUUAGAUUAAAUGACAUCAAAAAGGUGCUGAACCCAGGCCAAUGUAAGCUAUUAUUGAACUAAAAUCAUAUGUCCACAUAAAAUGUUUAAGUGGAGUCUGGGUGCCGUGACCCUUUCAUGGAUACGGAAAAUCACCAGAAGUUUUGGUGCAGAAAGAGCUGCCUCAAUCCCUGGAGAGCAUGUUCAUGCCUCCAGGAUUUUGAGUAGUAUUCACAGCCCUGUUAUGGCCAUUGUUAUGUCCUUUGAUCUUCCAAUGACAAUUUCAAAAAUUAAUUUUUUUAGGUGCAUAGUUUCUAUUCUUAGAAGAAAUCUAUAAUGACAGCUAUAGAGUAUUCUAAGCCUUAGGGAAUUGAUAUGCCAUCAUAAGCAAAAACAUUUAUUAAACCAUUGCUUAUAUGCUAGCUGAUAUUUAAGCCAUUGUGUUCUUGACCUUAGGGGAUACAAAGAAGGCAACUAAAUAUUGUGGAAAGAUCUUUGGAGCCACAUAGACCUGAGUUCAAAGCCCAGCAUUCAAUCGUUCAUUCAAUCAUUCAUUCAUUCAACAAAAUUUAAGUUGUUUGAAUGGCAGACACUUAUCCUAACUUUUAAAUAAACAAAUCUCUUUCAUUGUCACUUAAAAGAUAUUUAAACCUUAUCAAAUGACUUAGCUUCCCAGGGUGCCUGGGUGGCUCAGUCAGUUAAGCAUCCAACUCCCGCUCAGGUCAUGA